RNAcentral lists this long non-coding RNA (277 nucleotides) under Ananas comosus (pineapple). RNAcentral's name for it is "long non-coding RNA (ACOM_LNC040654)". Lineage: Eukaryota; Viridiplantae; Streptophyta; Magnoliopsida; Poales; Bromeliaceae. The record is from RNAcentral.
AAAUUCACUUAUUUUGGGCUUUUGUAAAAUUGGGUCACAUUUUUCGUUUUUGCAGAUUCAGUCCGUUUUUUCAGCAAACUCACCAAAAUAUCCUUAUUACCUUUUCUCUUUCCUCUUUCUCUCUCCUCUUCGUUCCUGUCAUUUUUUUUUUCUCGCCGAAAAAAAAAGCCGGACCGGACCGUCACCUUCUUCUUCACCGUCGCCUCCUUCUUCACCCUCCUUCUUCACCGUCGCCUCCCUCCUCACCCUCCUCUCCACCGCCCGCGACCCCCUCCUC